GUUGGUUUGAGUGGGGCACUGGAAACACUGCGGACAAGGAUUUGGUGCAAAGGAAUACCAAAUGCUGGGAAUUUACCUACAAGGCUCUUGCAUCAUAUCUCUUAUUUUUUCAAUCAUUAUAUCCAUUAUUUGGUUCUAUACAGAGCCCAUCCUAGUGUUACUUCAUCAAUCUCCCGACAUUGCAAGAACAGCUGCACUUUAUAUGAAGUUUCUUAUCCCGGGAGUGUUUGCAUAUAGCUUCUUGCAAAAUAUCUCGAGGUUUCUCCAGACACAAUCUGUGGUAAUGCCAUUGGUUGCACUCUCAGCUCUUCCACUGUUGAUCCAUAUUGGUAUUGCAUAUGGCUUGGUUCAGUGGCCAGGUCUGAGUUUUGCAGGCAUGGCAAGGAUUUUCAAUGCAUUCAUUCCAUUACGUAUUUACAAACAUGAAACUGGCCCUGCCCUCUGCUGCAAUGGUAUGUUUGGAGUAUUGGGCUUUUGGUUUUGGUUUUCUUGGCUGGACUGUUGCCUGACUCUCAGAUAACAACUUCGUUGAUUGCAAUAUGUUUAAACACUCAAUUCAUAGCGCACAUGGUCCCUGUUGGUCUCGGUGCGGCUGAAAGGUUAGUUGGUCGAACACAUUCUCCUUUGCUUGCAUUGUUGCAUUUCUUCUGAAUCAACAUUCUAGUACAUGUAUUGAAAAGUUCAAAUUAAAGAGGAGUUUGCUUCAGUGACACCCUUGCUUGCCAUUUCCAUAGUACUAGAUGCUGUCGAAGGUGUCAUACAAGGUUUGAAUUCCUCAUAUCUUUUAACCCGCUUUAUCUUUUCAACUUGAACAUCAUUCACUUUAAAUUCUUGGUGUGAAAAUUGUGCUUAAUACUACAGGGGUGGCCAGAGGAUGUGGUUGGCAGCACUCAACUGUUUAUAUUAAAUAUUUUGCACAUUCUAAAAAUCUGAUAUCUUGAUUUUGAGUCUUUUUUUCAUUUGUAAUUUUUCAUUAUUAUGUUUGUCUUGAAUUUGCUUUAUGAUAUAGGGUUUAUGGAUUGGUCUAAUUUGUGGGCAGCUCUGUCAAGUUGGGACACUCUUCCUUUUCUUAAGGCGUGCCAAAUGGACUAAAUUGAAUCUCUCUGGGGUCAAAGAUAAAGAGCAUCCUCUCGUUGUUUAACUGAAUGUCUGCCAAUCUGGCACUGCAUUUAUGAACAAAGGAUGAUCACAGAAUGGGGUAAACAUGAUUUUGGUAAAAUGUUUCUACUUUUUUGCUUAUAGUUGCUAUUCAUUUUGAGAAAGUACAAAUACUUUACCUUUUUUUGGAGUAUUUGUGAGGUGCAGACAGUAAAUCUUGAUAUAUAAUGUAACAAACUCUCCAUUUAGGUGGUUUUUAUUCCACAAUCUCACAAGAACUCAUUUAGAGGAGAUAGGCAGAAAUAUAUCUUAACAUAAAAGAAUACUAUCAAUUUAGCACUUAAGUGGAAUUAACCUUGGAAAAUCAUUUGAUUGAUGAGAGAUUAAUUUCUCGCAUAAGUGGGACCUUCCUCAAAAAUAUUUUUUUCCCCACAUGCUUCACUUGAACUUACAUUUUAAAUGAAGAAAUCUCUUUCUUGAAUAUUUGACUUAACUAGCGUACCCCAUUGCCCAGAGGCUCUUCGCUAUGCGAAGGUAUGGGGGAGGGAUAUUGUACGCAGCCUUACCCUUGCAUAUGCAAAGAGGCUGUUUCCGGAUUCUUGAAUAUUUGACUUAUCAGGGAAAAAAUAUGUUAUUGACACAUAGUCCUUGCCAAUCUACUGCUCCUUUAUCUUGUCUGAUGAAAGGGUUUAACACAGGAUGAAAUGAAGAGGAGGUUUGGUUCAGGUAGGUUACUGAAUGGACUCUACCGACUGAAAGGAACUAUUGCACAACAUUCACAACACCCACCAAAGACUGUAAGAAAUGAAAAUUGUAAUAAAAUUUGUCACAUUGUUUCCAUUCGGGAUUCGGCUCUAAAGCAUUUUAGAUUUGGUCACACUUAGCUAGGCCUGAAACUUUAAGCAAUUUGUACCCUGUAAUUCAUGUGAAUAAGAAUUCAUUUUGUGACA
Molecule: RNA transcript, 2048 nt
Organism: Glycine soja
Lineage: Eukaryota; Viridiplantae; Streptophyta; Magnoliopsida; Fabales; Fabaceae
Gene name: protein DETOXIFICATION 18-like
Exons: 4
Source: RefSeq, a predicted model, not a curated record